GGAGAGGUGCCUGAGUGGUUGAAAGGGGCACCCUGCUAAGGUGUUGGGUCUUAACGGGCCUCGAGGGUUCGAAUCCCUCCCUCUCCGCCA
Molecule: transfer RNA, 90 nt
Filed under: bacterium
Lineage: Bacteria
Also listed under: 1 other name
Description: tRNA-Ser
Rfam family: tRNA
About the family: Transfer RNA (tRNA) molecules are approximately 80 nucleotides in length. Their secondary structure includes four short double-helical elements and three loops (D, anti-codon, and T loops).
Source: RNAcentral